RNAcentral lists this ribosomal RNA (513 nucleotides) under uncultured bacterium. RNAcentral describes it as "bacterial SSU rRNA". It matches the Rfam family "Bacterial small subunit ribosomal RNA", at positions 17 to 518 of the family's 1533-position model. The record is from RNAcentral.
UCCUGGCGUCAGGAUGAACGGCUGGCUACAGGCUUAACACAUGCAAGUCGAGGGGCAGCAUUGAGAUAGCUUGCUAUUCAGAUGGCGACCGGCGCACGGGUGAGUAACGCGUAUCCAACCUUCCCCUAGUAGAGGAUAGCCCGGCGAAAGUCGGAUUAAUACUCUAUGUUGUAUUUUGAGGACAUCUGACGAAUACCAAAGAUUCAUCGCUAAGGGAUGGGGAUGCGUCUGAUUAGCUUGUUGGCGGGGUAACGGCCCACCAAGGCGACGAUCAGUAGGGGUUCUGAGAGGAAGGUCCCCCACAUUGGUACUGAGACACGGACCAAACUCCUACGGGAGGCAGCAGUGAGGAAUAUUGGUCAAUGGGCGAGAGCCUGAACCAGCCAAGUAGCGUGCAAGGAAGACUGCCCUAUGGGUUGUAAACUGCUUUUAUCAGGGAAUAAAGUUCGGCACGUGUGCUGUUUUGUAUGUACCUGAUGAAUAAGGACCGGCUAAUUCCGUGCCAGCAGCCGC